This 253-nucleotide ribosomal RNA is filed under the name uncultured bacterium. Its description in RNAcentral is "partial 16S ribosomal RNA". It matches the Rfam family "Bacterial small subunit ribosomal RNA", at positions 524 to 776 of the family's 1533-position model. The record is from RNAcentral.
UACGGAGGGGGCGAGCGUUAUUCGGAAUUAUUGGGCGUAAAGGGCGCGUAGGCGGCUUGACAAGUCAAAGGUGAAAUCCCUCGGCUCAACUGAGGAACUGCCUUUGAAACUGUCUGGCUUGAGGCCGGGAGGGGGUAGCGGAAUUCCCAGUGUAGCGGUGAAAUGCGUAGAUAUUCGCAAGAACACCAGUGGCGAAGGCGGCUCACUGGCCCGGUACUGACGCUGAGGCACGAAAGCGUGGGGAGCAAACAGG